Molecule: ribosomal RNA, 292 nt
Filed under: uncultured bacterium
Lineage: Bacteria
Description: partial 16S ribosomal RNA
Rfam family: Bacterial small subunit ribosomal RNA
Source: RNAcentral
AAUCAACGCUGGCGGCGUGCCUCAGACAUGCAAGUCGAACGCGAAAGUCCCCUUCGGGGGGCAAGUAGAGUGGCGCACGGGUGAGUAACACGUAGGUAAUCUACCUUUGGAUGGGGAAUAACCCGGGGAAACCCGAGCUAAUACCGCAUAAUGCAGCGGCACCGCAAGGUGACAGUUGUUAAAGGAGCAAUCCGCUUAAAGAGGAGCUUGCGGCAGAUUAGCUAGUUGGUAAGGAAUGGCUUACCAAGGCUACGAUCUGUAUCCGGUCUAAGAGGACGGUCGGACACACUGA